AGUAAAAGUCGUAACAAGGUCUCCGUUGGUGAACCAGCGGAGGGAUCAUUACAGAGUUAUCCAACUCCCAAACCCAUGUGAACUUAUCUCUUUGUUGCCUCGGCGCAAGCUACCCGGGACCUCGCGCCCCGGGGGGCCCGCCGGCGGACAAACCAAACUCUGUUAUCUUCGUUGAUUAUCUGAGUGUCUUAUUUAAUAAGUCAAAACUUUCAACAACGGAUCUCUUGGUUCUGGCAUCGAUGAAGAACGCAGCGAAAUGCGAUAAGUAAUGUGAAUUGCAGAAUUCAGUGAAUCAUCGAAUCUUUGAACGCACAUUGCGCCCAUUAGUAUUGUAGUGGGCAUGCCUGUUCGAGCGUCAUUUCAACCCCUAAGCACAGCUUAUUGUUGGGACUCUACGGCUUCGUAGUUCCCCAAAGACAUUGGCGGAGUGGCAGCAGUCCUCUGAGCGUAGUAAUUCUUUAUCUCGCUUUUGUUAGGCGCUGCCCCCCCGGCCGUAAAACCCCCAAUUUUUUCUGGUUGACCUCGGAUCAGGUAGGAAUACCCGCUGAACUUAAGCAUAUCAAUAAGCGGAGGA
This 574-nucleotide ribosomal RNA is filed under the name uncultured fungus. Its description in RNAcentral is "eukaryotic LSU rRNA". The stretch from base 205 to 358 matches the Rfam family "5.8S ribosomal RNA". The record is from RNAcentral. Lineage: Eukaryota; Fungi.